AAUGUAUUUCAGCUCUGACUUCUGUUUCCUGAACUGCAAAUGCUGUGUGUCAGAUUCGCAAACUAGUCCUGCAUUCAAGUCAUUCACCAUUUUGUUCUCAGAGAAAAGAGUUGAAGUAUUUUAAACACUCAACAGCACUGUAGCUGAUGUUCUAAUGAAGCAAAACACACUGUGGGCUCAGAGGAAGACUUCGCUGUGCAUUUACGAGUUUAUCGCAUCUCUGGGUUUCGGUAUCCUGAUUAGAAGGGAGUGGCAUUUGACUAAUUCUGGAAAGAUGUGUUUGCUAGAUGGAAAACAGGGCUGAAGAAGGCAUCUGAAGUUCCGAGAGAUGGAAGUCACAGCGAGUGCAGAAUGACAAGUACGACAAUGUCAACAGAUUCUCUUCUGACAUGACCAAGCUCUGGGUUGGCACUAAUAUCGCCCUCACAGUCCUCCUGAACCUCCUGCUUUCCCAAGGAAUAAACCCACCGUGGCGCAGCUGCAAUUGUAAGCUACAUGGACUUGUAACUAAUUUUUUAUGCUACUCUUUUCCUCUGUUGACUAUCAAUGCCACAUUUGUAGGAACUGUGUUCCAAUGUCUGCCUUUGGGUUUCUCUCCAAUUGAAAGACACAACAUAAACGUUGUAGUUAAAAUGAUGCAAGUGAAAUCCCAACUGCUACUUUCUUUCUCUGGAAAUUGGGGCGAGGUAUUUAAGUUCCUUGAAUUUUUAAAAAUGAGGAUAAUAAUACCUGUGUCCAGGAUGCAAAAAAUAAAAUAGUUCCUUCUUCAAUCCAACUCACACAUACGUAAAGAGAGCUCAUUACCUAUUCGUAAUUCCAAGUAUUACUGUAUUUGCUACUAACAAAAUAAAGGUGAAAAAGGCAUGA
This is a long non-coding RNA of Ochotona curzoniae (black-lipped pika), 867 nucleotides long. RefSeq lists it as uncharacterized. The transcript has 3 exons. NCBI's taxonomy places the organism in Eukaryota, Metazoa, Chordata, Mammalia, Lagomorpha, Ochotonidae. The record is from RefSeq and is a predicted model, not a curated record.